UACGAAGGGGGCUAGCGUUGUUCGGAAUCACUGGGCGUAAAGGGCGCGUAGGCGGAUUGCUAAGUCAGGGGUGAAAUCCUGGAGCUCAACUCCAGAACUGCCUUUGAUACUGGCAACCUUGAGUCCGGGAGAGGUGAGUGGAACUGCGAGUGUAGAGGUGAAAUUCGUAGAUAUUCGCAAGAACACCAGUGGCGAAGGCGGCUCACUGGCCCGGUACUGACGCUGAGGUGCGAAAGCGUGGGGAGCAAACAGG
This 253-nucleotide ribosomal RNA is filed under the name uncultured bacterium. RNAcentral's name for it is "partial 16S ribosomal RNA". It matches the Rfam family "Bacterial small subunit ribosomal RNA", at positions 524 to 776 of the family's 1533-position model. The record is from RNAcentral.